Molecule: ribosomal RNA, 253 nt
Filed under: uncultured bacterium
Lineage: Bacteria
Description: partial 16S ribosomal RNA
Rfam family: Bacterial small subunit ribosomal RNA
Source: RNAcentral
UACGGGGGGGGCAAACGUUGUUCGGAAUUACUGGGCGUAAAGCGCGUGUAGGCGGCUUGGCAAGUCGGGUGUGAAAGCCCUGGGCUCAACCUAGGAAGUGCACUCGAAACUGCUUCGCUUGAGUGUCGGAGAGGAAAGCGGAAUUCUCGGUGUAGAGGUGAAAUUCGUAGAUAUCGAGAGGAACACCGGUGGCGAAGGCGGCUUUCUGGACGAUAACUGACGCUGAGACGCGAAAGCGUGGGGAGCAAACAGG